GUCCCUGGCAUGAGCUACCCAUCACUGUCUUAUGCUCAGUGACCCAGGACCACCUAUGAGCAUCUGGGCCCAAGAGAUGAUCUCAAACUUUUCACAAUUAUUUCAGGUAUCAACAAGAUGGAAAUAAAGCCAAAAGCUGUGCUGAGAUUCAACCAUCAACAUCCCAAAAGGAAUAUUCUGUUUCCCAGCAUUUCUUGCCAAGGAUGAUCUCAGAUUCGUCUGUUUCCAUUCACUAUAAGAAAAAUAUUCUGAGCACCUGCUAUGCGCCAAGCGUUGUGCUAUGUAGUGGGGGCACAACUGCAGGGAAACCAGACAUGGUCCCUCCCUGCCUCCUGGCAUUUAGAGCCAAGACAGAGGGUCAGAUUAUAAAUGAACACAGGCACCAUGAUUAUUUCAUCUCAAACUCUGGUUGGUGCUAUGGGAAAGGAGCAGUGAUCUUUGAGACCUGAGAGGGGGUCCUGAUGGAGCAGACACCAGCAGAAGGAUCCUUCCGGGAAGUGACGUUGAAGCUAAGCUUGAAAAGAAAGAAGCCAGUGGACAUCUUCUGGUGAGACCCAGAGCACCCCACCUGCAAGGGGCCUGAUCUCCCUUGAACCAAGAGCCCUGCCACUCGCCCCAGCUGCCUAAAGGCUGACAGGAGAAGAGGGAGUCAGAAUGGUGCUCCAAACAGAGCUCACUGGAAUCUCAGCUCAGCCAUUUACUUGCUCUGUCAACUUGGGCUCUCGCUGCAGAUGUCAUUAGUGAAGACGAAGUCACACUGGAGUAGGCUGGGCCCUAAAUCAAAUGGCUGUUAGUUUUAUAAGAAGAGGGAAAUUUGGACACAGACACACACAAAGAGGAACAACCAGCGUGUGAAGACAGAGGCAGAGAUUGGAAUGAGGCAGCCACAAGCCAAUGAACCGCUGCAGCUCCCAGAGGCCAGAAGAGGCAAGGGAAUAUCCUCCCCUAGAGGCUGCAGAGGGAGCACAGCCCUGCCAGUGCCUUGAUUCGAGACUUCGAGACUUCCAGCCUCCAGAACUGGGAAAGAAUAAAUAUCUGCUGUUUUAAGCA
Molecule: long non-coding RNA, 1050 nt
Organism: Homo sapiens (human)
Lineage: Eukaryota; Metazoa; Chordata; Mammalia; Primates; Hominidae
Product: long intergenic non-protein coding RNA 2554
Source: Ensembl